Molecule: ribosomal RNA, 484 nt
Filed under: uncultured bacterium
Lineage: Bacteria
Description: partial 16S ribosomal RNA
Rfam family: Bacterial small subunit ribosomal RNA
Source: RNAcentral
AUUGAACGCUGGCGGCAGGCCUAACACAUGCAAGUCGAGCGGAUGAAGGGAGCUUGCUCCUGGAUUCAGCGGCGGACGGGUGAGUAAUGCCUAGGAAUCUGCCUGGUAGUGGGGGAUAACGUCCGGAAACGGGCGCUAAUACCGCAUACGUCCUGAGGGAGAAAGUGGGGAAUCUUCGGACCUCACGCUAUCAGAUGAGCCUAGGUCGGAUUAGCUAGUUGGUGGGGUAAAGGCCUACCAAGGCGACGAUCCGUAACUGGUCUGAGAGGAUGAUCAGUCACACUGGAACUGAGACACGGUCCAGACUCCUACGGGAGGCAGCAGUGGGGAAUAUUGGACAAAGGGCGAAAGCCUGAUCCAGCCAUGCCGCGUGUGUGAAGAAGGUCUUCGGAUUGUAAAGCACUUUAAGUUGGGAGGAAGGGCAGUAAGUUAAUACCUUGCUGUUUUGACGUUACCAACAGAAUAAGCACCGGCUAACUUCGUG